RNAcentral lists this ribosomal RNA (253 nucleotides) under uncultured bacterium. RNAcentral's name for it is "partial 16S ribosomal RNA". It matches the Rfam family "Bacterial small subunit ribosomal RNA", at positions 524 to 776 of the family's 1533-position model. The record is from RNAcentral.
UACGAGUGGUGCGAGCGUUGUUCGGAAUUACUGGGCAUAAAGAGCACGUAGGCGGUCUGGUAAGUCUGCUGUGAAAUCCCCCGGCUCAACCGGGGAACUGCAGUUGAUACUGCUGGGCUAGAGUGCGGGAGGGGAGAGCGGAAUUCCUGGUGGAGCGGUGAUAUGCGUAGAUAUCAGGAGGAACGCCGGAGGCGAAAGCGGCUCUCUGGUCCGCAACUGACGCUGAGGUGCGAAAGCUAGGGGAGCGAACAGG